AACACAAAGAAAAGAACAUUAAUUGAUUUGAUAAAUAAAUAAAGGAGGGGAACAAAACCUUAUUAUUUUCUUAUUCUUGUCUUAUUAUAAUUUGAAAGGAAUACAAAUGCAUCAAUUAAGAAAUCAAGCUCCUUUCUUUCCAUCCCUCCCAUCUAAUGCUAAUAUAUAUGUAUAUAUUACACUCUGAUCAUCAUUUUGGAAUCUACGCCGUGUAUGGAGCUGGCAUGGGCAUACCCUUGACAAUACCACAAAGAGGUUGGUUGUCUGGGAGGUUGUACUCAUCCCUCAAGGAGCGCGACGGGGAGAGAACACUAAAAUAUAGUUGUUGUCCUAAGUAGAAUCUCUCCCACAUUUCUGAUCGCAAGUUCCACAUUCCUGCAUUGUCCAAAGUUGUCAUCACGGCUGCCCACGAGUUUGGAUAGACUUGAAUGCUGUGCCUGCUUACUGCGUCUACUAAGUUGUAGUUCUUCCUCUUCUCAGGACUCCACCUCCCAGGCUCGAUACCCACGGCAAAGAAGGAAUACCCAUCUACAUGAUAGGUCUGGAUAGUCUUUUCUUGGUUCUCAAAGAUAAUCUCCACGAAAUUACGGAAGGUAGCAUUCUUCACAUUCGGGGAAAUUGUCACUUUGCUCAAGUCAGAUGGAGGCUCAUCAGCCAUCAGAUCGUACUUAAAGGUCUUUUCAGGAACUCCGAAAAACUCAACAAGCUUCAAUGGGGUGUCAGUAUCCAUAUGGGAGAUACCAUUCAAGGCGAAUCGAAGCUUGCCAGCUACUUGACUCCUAGAACUGACGAUCUUCAUGGUGCGAGUGAUGUUGAUUUUUCCGUAAUGGUAGGAUCCCUGAGGGUUAGGACGGGCAGCGCUAGCGGUGAGGUUCCAUCUAAAUGAGCGGAAUUGGUUCAUGGACCAGGCAAUACCUUCAGUGUUAUCUGGUGGGGGUGCUGGGAGAUCAGAUGAUGCUGGUCCCUUACCGUUAGCAUAACGAAGGAUGGCUAGAGAGGAGAGCUCCUGCUUCAGAAAUCUGCUAGAAACAACCAUGUAAUAGUCUUUGGGCUCUUGAUCAGCAGUGACCAAGACCGAAAGACACUGACCAACAUGAAUGUCAAGUGAGUCAUAGACAUUCUGCACCGUAUGUGAUCCCUCCAUCUCAACCAACUUCAUGGUGUGGCCUUGGAUCCUGACAUUGACUGAGGUCCUCAUGCCAACGUUACACAUCCUGUAUCUAUAAGUCUUGCCAGCCUCCAUGGUGAAGAGUGCCUCUGUUGCCUUGUCACCAACUUUGCUGGACUUUCCAUUAAUGUGAAUGCCAUCAGGCCUACCAAUGGUGCGUCCGCCGUCCAAGAUCUUUUUCAAGGUCUUGUGUCCCUUAUUGUACCAAUCGCCCAAAAAGACAUGGUACUCUUCGGCGGGGUUGUCAAAAGGAAUAGGGAUAAGGUUACGACUAUGAACAUCGAGGGCACCAAAUCCACCAGCUGCACGAUGUAAGCCUGUUGUCGGGAAGUAGAAAAAGCUACCGAUUUGAUCCUUUACCUGGAAAUGAUAGGUGAAGUUUGUACCAGGCAUGAUAGGACACAUGGUUCCUGGGGUACCAUCUUGCCACGAGUUCUUCCUUUGUUGGAUACCACUCCAGGUAAGGAGCAACGGCUCAUCCAGGUAAUUGUAGACAUU
This 1666-nucleotide long non-coding RNA is filed under the name Nicotiana benthamiana. RNAcentral describes it as "long non-coding RNA (NBEN_LNC037975)". Lineage: Eukaryota; Viridiplantae; Streptophyta; Magnoliopsida; Solanales; Solanaceae. The record is from RNAcentral.